This 506-nucleotide ribosomal RNA is filed under the name uncultured organism. RNAcentral describes it as "SSU rRNA". It matches the Rfam family "Bacterial small subunit ribosomal RNA", at positions 21 to 509 of the family's 1533-position model. The record is from RNAcentral.
GGCUCAGGAUGAACGCUGGCGGCGUGCUUAACACAUGCAAGUCGAACGGAGUAUUUCGCCCGAGACCUGAGGUAGCUUGCUACGGAUGGAAUCAAUUGAAAUACUUAGUGGCGGACGGGUGAGUAACGCGUGAGUAACCUGCCCUUUAGUGGGGAAUAACACCGAGAAAUCGGUGCUAAUACCGCAUAAUGUCAGAGGACCGCAUGAUCUUCUGACCAAAGGAUUUAUUCGCUAAAGGAUGGACUCGCGUCCGAUUAGCUAGUUGGUGAGGUAACGGCCCACCAAGGCAACGAUCGGUAGCCGAACUGAGAGGUUGAUCGGCCACAUUGGGACUGAGACACGGCCCAGACUCCUACGGGAGGCAGCAGUGGGGAAUAUUGGGCAAUGGGCGCAAGCCUGACCCAGCAACGCCGCGUGAAGGAUGAAGGUCCUCGGAUUGUAAACUUCUUUGAUCAGGGACGAAUUUUGACGGUACCUGAAGAACAAGUCACGGCUAACUACGUGCC